UAAAAUUCCUAAACUUUAAAC
Molecule: non-coding RNA, 21 nt
Filed under: Caenorhabditis elegans
Lineage: Eukaryota; Metazoa; Nematoda; Chromadorea; Rhabditida; Rhabditidae
Source: RNAcentral